RNAcentral lists this ribosomal RNA (464 nucleotides) under uncultured bacterium. Its description in RNAcentral is "partial 16S ribosomal RNA". It matches the Rfam family "Bacterial small subunit ribosomal RNA", at positions 340 to 795 of the family's 1533-position model. The record is from RNAcentral.
UACGGGAUGCUGCAGUGGGGAAUAUUGCGCAAUGGGCGAAAGCCUGACGCAGCGACGUCGCGUGAGGGAAGAAGGCUCUCGGGUCGUAAACCUCUGUCAGGGGGGAAGAAACCCUUAAGCUCGAAUAGGGCUUUUGGCUGACGGUACCCCCAGAGGAAGCACCGGCUAAUUCAGUGCCAGCAGCCGCGGUAAUACUGAAGGUGCGAGCGUUAAUCGGAAUCACUGGGCGUAAAGCGUGCGUAGGCGGCGCGGUCAGUCAGAUGUGAAAGCCCUCGGCUCAACCGAGGAAUUGCAUUUGAUACUGCCGUGCUAGAGUCUCGGAGAGGUUGGCGGAAUUCCAGGUGUAGGAGUGAAAUCCGUAGAUAUCUGGAGGAACAUCAGUGGCGAAGGCGGCCAACUGGACGAGUACUGACGCUGAGGUACGAAAGCGUGGGGAGCAAACAGGAUUAGAUACCCCGGUAGUC